This 20-nucleotide ribosomal RNA is filed under the name Agaricus subfloccosus. Its description in RNAcentral is "partial 5.8S ribosomal RNA". The record is from RNAcentral. Lineage: Eukaryota; Fungi; Basidiomycota; Agaricomycetes; Agaricales; Agaricaceae.
AACUUUCAGCAACGGAUCUC